RNAcentral lists this ribosomal RNA (487 nucleotides) under uncultured Propionibacterium sp. RNAcentral describes it as "partial 16S ribosomal RNA". Lineage: Bacteria; Bacillati; Actinomycetota; Actinomycetes; Propionibacteriales; Propionibacteriaceae. The record is from RNAcentral.
CACGUAGUUAGCCGGUGCUUCUUCUGCAGGUACCGUCACCACAAGCUUCGCCCCUGCUGAAAGCGGUUUACAACCCGAAGGCCGUCAUCCCGCACGCGGCGUUGCUGCAUCAGGCUUCCGCCCAUUGUGCAAUAUUCCCCACUGCUGCCUCCCGUAGGAGUCUGGGCCGUAUCUCAGUCCCAAUGUGGCCGGUCGCCCUCUCAGGCCGGCUACCCGUCAAAGCCUUGGUAAGCCACUACCCCACCAACAAGCUGAUAAGCCGCGAGUCCAUCCAAAACCGCCGAAGCUUUCCAACCCCCACCAUGCAGCAAGGAUUCCUAUCCGGUAUUAGCCCCAGUUUCCUGAAGUUAUCCCGAAGUCAAGGGCAGGUUACUCACGUGUUACUCACCCGUUCGCCACUCGAGUACCCCCAAAGGGGCCUUUCCGUUCGACUUGCAUGUGUUAAGCACGCCGCCAGCGUUCGUCCUCGAGCCAGGAUCGAAACUCU